Molecule: long non-coding RNA, 647 nt
Filed under: Homo sapiens (human)
Lineage: Eukaryota; Metazoa; Chordata; Mammalia; Primates; Hominidae
Description: HSALNT0288175
Source: RNAcentral
CUUUGAAUAAGAGUAGUUUGCACACCACACAGCUAUAGUGUUAUAAUAUUCUGUUUUGUUGUGUAUCCUAUUAGCAGUGAGGAUUUUUUUUUUUAUCUUUAGGUGAUCAUUUAUUGCUCGUUAAUGUUCUUUUCUUCCUGAUUGAAGUACUUCCUUUAGCAUUCCUUUAGGACAGGUGUGGUAUUCAUAAAAUACUUCAGCUUUUGUUUGUCUGAAAAAGUUAGUAUUUCUUCUUUUUAUUUGAAGAAUAUUUUCACUGUAUAUUCUAUUCUAAGGUAAAAGUUUUUUUUUCCUUUAGUACUUUAAAUAUUUAUUGCUUCUCUCUCCUGACCAGUAGAGUUUCCACCGUAAAGUCUGCUGCCAGACGUGUUGGAGCUCCCCAGUAUGUCAUUUGUUUCUUUUCUCUUUCUUCCUUUAGAACUUUUCUUUAUCUUUGACUUUUGGAAGAUCUAUUGAAUGCUUUGAAGUAGUCUUUUUUGGGUUAAAUCUGCUUAAUGUUCUAUAACAUUUUUGUAGUUGGAUAUUGUUAUCUUUCUCUAGGUUUGGAAAGUUCUCUGUGAUUAUCCCUCUGAAUAAAUUUUUCUACCCCUGCCUCUUUCUCUACAUCUUCUUUAAAACAAAUAACUCUUAGAUCUGUCUUUGUGAGG